GCAGCCAGACGAUGUGACGUACGGUCGCAAACUCCGCCAGGUCCGGAAGGAAGCAACGGUGAGCGGUACGGCGGGUACAUCGUCUGGCUGCUGU
Molecule: signal recognition particle RNA, 94 nt
Filed under: Deltaproteobacteria bacterium CG2_30_63_29
Lineage: Bacteria; Deltaproteobacteria
Also listed under: 2 other names
Description: signal recognition particle sRNA small type
Rfam family: Bacterial small signal recognition particle RNA
About the family: The signal recognition particle (SRP) is a universally conserved ribonucleoprotein involved in the co-translational targeting of proteins to membranes.
Source: RNAcentral